AAACAUUAAAACAAAAAUAGAAAUUAAAUAGACUAAAUUAAAGCAUAAACUAUACUUAGAUUGUGAAAUAUUAAUUUUGCCAAGAAAUUUAUGGGUAUAGAUCUGUAGUUAACAUAUAUAAGUGAUAUGUAAUAAACCAAAAAAAAAAAAUGUAAUAAAAGACAAAUGCUUUCAAAAGUUGAAAAAUUAUUAAAAGUAAUUUUUUUUAGAAAAAUAAUAAAAGAACCAAAGGCUAAAAUAUCAUCCUCAAAACAACAAAGGUGCAUCUAUCCUUGAUUUAAUGGUUAAGAUUACUAGAUACUUUAAUUGAAAUCAAAAUGCACCCUCACUUUCCCACUUUAGAGGAAUUAAACCUUCCUAAAAACUGCCAUUCUUAAUAGGGCAGAGUUCUGCCACCACUCAAGGCUGAAACCGAAGUUGACGGCUUUAUGCCAGUGGCUGGAAAAGUUAUGAUUACAACCUCUUCUAUUGUUACACAUUUGAAAGCAGUAAGGAAAAUUUUGCAGUAGAAACCAAAUAAAGCAUUUUACAAUCUUGCUAUCACUUCCAAUUAUAUGAACCCCUGAUUGAAAAGCUUGGAGACUUCUAACUGAAAACCUCAUAUUUAAAAAUGUGGAGGUGAACUCUUUUUCAGUUCCAGGGACAUGAAAAUGAAUCUGGUUUAAAGGUUCAAGCCUUCAGCACUUUUUAUGCCUUCAUGACUAUGCCUGUGUCCCUCAUUUUUUCACUUGCAAGUUAGUGUGCUCUUCCACCUUUUGUUUCCGCCACCCUUUUGUAUUUGUUGAUUGUAUUUGUGUUUUUUGUUAUUUGUUUUUUUCCCAUGCUUUAGAUUGAUGAUUAUGGUUUCUGUGUAGUGUCUCUCUGAUCAUUACUGAAUGAAUGGACACUAGAAAAUUACUACCCCUUUUGAGAGCUUCUAUGAAUUCCAAGUCACCGAAGCAAGGCAAGCUCAUUCAUCAGAAAGUUGUAACUUUGGGCUUGCAAAAUGAUAUUUUCUUAUGCAAGAACGUGAUUAACCUAUAUCUUUCUUGCCAUUUGUUUGAUCAUGCAAAGUGUGUUUUUGAUACCAUGGAAAACCCAUGUGAGAUAUCCUUGUGGAAUGGCCUGAUGGCAGGUUAUACUAAGAAUUACAUGUAUGUGGAAGCCCUAGUGCUUUUUGAGAAACUGUUACACUACCCUUACCUGAAACCUGAUAGUUAUACAUACCCUAGUGUUCUUAAGGCUUGUGGGGGACUCUGUAGAUUUGUCUUGGGAAAAAUGAUACAUACGUGUUUGAUAAAAACUGGUUUAAUGAUGGACAUUGUUGUUGGAAGCUCUCUUGUGGGUAUGUAUGCAAAAUGCAAUGCAUUUGAGAAAGCUAUACAGAUGUUCAAUGAAAUGCCUGAAAAGGAUGUGGCAUGCUGGAAUACAGUGAUUUCUUGUAAUUACCAAAGUGGAAAGUUCAAAGAGGCCCUACAUUAUUUUGGCAUGAUGAGAAGAUUUGGAUUUCAGCCUGAUUCAGUUACAAUCACAACUGCCAUUUCCUGUUGUGCUAGACUUUUGGAUUUGAACAGGGGAAUGAAAAUUCACGAGGAAUUAAUUAAUAGUGGGUUUCUUCUAGAUAGUUUCAUUAUCUCUGCUCUUGUUGACAUGUAUGGAAAAUGUGGUCACCUAGAAAGGGCCAUAAAGGUUUUUGAGCAGAUGCCUAAAAAGACUAUUGUUGCUUGGAAUUCCAUGAUUACUGGAUAUGGUUUGAAAGGUGACAGCAUUUCAUGCAUUCAACUUUUCAAGAGGAUGUACAAUGAAGGAGUCAAGCCAACUUUGACUACUUUAAGCAGUUUAAUAAUGGUUUGUUCACGAUCAGCCCGACUGCUAGAAGGGAAGUUUGUACAUGGAUAUAUACUACGAAACAGGAUACAGCCUGAUGUUUUUAUUAAUAGCUCACUCAUGGAUCUAUACUUCAAAUGUGGAAAGGUAGGGUUGGCUGAAAAUAUUUUUAAAUUAAUACCAAAGUCCAAUGUAGUUUUUUGGAAUGUUAUGAUUUCUGGAUAUGUGGCUGAAGGAAAUUUUUUUGAAGCCCUUGGCCUCUUUAGUAAAAUGACAAAAUCCUUUGUUGAGCCGGAUGCUAUUACUUUUACCAGUGUUUUAGCAGCUUGUUCUCAACUAGCAGCACUAGAGAAAGGUAAAGAGAUUCACAAUAUGAUUGCUGAGAGAAAUUUGGACAACAGUGAAGUGGUUAUGGGAGCUCUCCUUGAUAUGUAUGCAAAGUGUGGUGCUGUAGAUGAAGCAUUUGGUGUUUUUAAAUGUUUGCCAGAAAGAGAUCUGGUGUCCUGGACUUCUAUGAUUACUGCUUAUGGGUCCCAUGGUCAGGCCUAUGAAGCUUUGGAGCUUUUUGCUGAAAUGCUGAAGUCCAAUGUGAAACCUGAUAGGGUUACUUUUCUUGCUAUAUUAUCUGCUUGUGGCCAUGCUGGGUUGGUUGAUGAAGGAUGCUAUUACUUCAAUCAAAUGAUCCAUGUUUAUGGCAUUAUGCCUAGAGUUGAACAUUAUUCAUGCUUGAUAGAUCUUCUUGGGCGUACUGGAAGAUUGCAUGAAGCGUAUGAGAUUUUGCAAAGAAACCCUGAAAUCAGGGAUGAUGUUGGAUUGUUAAGCACAUUAUUUUCUGCAUGCCGUUUGCACAGAAAUAUUGAUCUGGGAGUUGAAAUUGCAAGAAUGCUCAUUGAUAAGAAUCCUGAUGAUUCAUCAACCUAUAUUCUAUUGUCAAAUAUGUAUGCUUCUGCACAUAAAUGGGAUGAAGUGCGGAUGGUGAGAUCAAAGAUGAAAGAGCUUGGAUUAAAGAAGAAUCCAGGGUGUAGUUGGAUUGAAAUUAACCAGAAGAUCGUACCUUUCUUUGUUGAAGACAAUUCACACUUGCAUCUAGAACUGGUUAAUAAAUGCCUUUCAUAUCUUACUGGUCACAUGGAAGACGAGUCGGAGCCAUUUAUAUAUCAUUCUGAUGUUGAAACAUUGAUAUUUUAUUAGUUUUCAAAUUUGCAUAGGAGGAUAAGCUUUGGAGCUAGACAUGGGGAUCCUAAAACAAUGAUCCUUGGUGCGAGUGACUGGCGCUAAAAUCCAAAAUGGACCUAAAAAGAUGACAUCAACACAAAAAGAACUCUGGCUUUCCAUUGCUCGUUGCAAUUUCAUCCAGGCUUACUAACUCAAUGGAAAGGAAGCUGCUGCUCAUAAUACAUGGAAGGAAAUGUACUUCAUUCAAUUUUUCAUUCAAAAUUGUUUGUUCGCAAUUCAGUGUACACUCACGCACAUGUAAUAGAAAGACAGAUUGACCUCUCCUCUCUCUCAGUUGUCAAAUAUCUAAAGGAAAAAGGUUGCAUGUUAAACUGAUAGAUUUUCUAGCUAGCACAGAACAUUACAUUCUUGCAGAGGGAAAUACAAUUUGUAGCACAUGUGAAGAAGAAUCCUAAUCCUUUGAGUUGUGGGUGUCCAUGUCCAGCAGUGAUACUAGGGAUUUAAGGAUAAAAAAGAAAGAGAAGGAAGAUGGGUGUUUGGGAAUGAGAUUGUCACUAAAUUAAAGCAAAAGAAGGGUGAAGGGAUCGCUAGAAGAUUUGAUGGCAUGUAGAGACAAAUGAUAACCGCUCUGGCCUUCAAUCUAAAGCCACCCAGGCAAAUGAGCUGCUAGCAGCAGUUGCAAUCAACAGAGCUGAGAAACUGGAGCACAAAAGCCAACCACUCGUUUAGGAGAUUGGUGAUGUUGCUAUUAAUGAACCUGAUCUUCAAAUCUUCUCUAUUUUGAGUCACUCAGGUUCAGUAUAUUUGAUUUGUUUCUAUUUGCUUGGUCCAUUUUUGUAGAUGGGUUUGGGAUCUCGUGGUUUGCAGGUUUUCCAAGCCUGGAAGGGUAGUAAUGUCAGUUCCAAUUUUGGAAUUCGAUUCUAUGUUAUUUGAUUUACCUUUUCGUUUUUCUUUGUUUAUCAAAUUUGGUGUCACAAUUCUGCUCUCCAAAAAUUUCCCUUUAUUGCAAGUACUUAAGUUAUUGAUCAUUGUUCCAGAACGUAUUUUAUUAUUUUCUAUUAUAUUUGUUGUGGUUGUAGCUUCAAUUCUAAUUUUUAUUUUUUGAAUUGUUAUUUGUUAGGUCA
Molecule: RNA transcript, 4106 nt
Organism: Cajanus cajan (pigeon pea)
Lineage: Eukaryota; Viridiplantae; Streptophyta; Magnoliopsida; Fabales; Fabaceae
Gene name: Tetratricopeptide repeat (TPR)-like superfamily protein
Source: RefSeq, a predicted model, not a curated record